CUGAUGCAGCCAUGCCGCGUGUGUGAAGAAGGCCUUCGGGUUGUAAAGCACUUUCAGUUGUGAGGAAAAGUUAGUAGUUAAUACCUGCUAGCCGUGACGUUAACAACAGAAGAAGCACCGGCUAACUCCGUGCCAGCAGCCGCGGUAAUACGGAGGGUGCGAGCGUUAAUCGGAAUUACUGGGCGUAAAGCGCACGCAGGCGGUUUGUUAAGCUAGAUGUGAAAGCCCCGGGCUCAACCUGGGAUGGUCAUUUAGAACUGGCAGACUAGAGUCUUGGAGAGGGGAGUGGAAUUCCAGGUGUAGCGGUGAAAUGCGUAGAUAUCUGGAGGAACAUCAGUGGCGAAGGCGACUCCCUGGCCAAAGACUGACGCUCAUGUGCGAAAGUGUGGGUAGCGAACAGGAUUAGAUACCCUGGUAGUCCACACCGUAAACGCUGUCUACUAGCUGUGUGUGUCUUUAAGACGUGCGUAGCGAAGCUAACGCGCUAAGUAGACCGCCUGGGGAGUACGGCCGCAAGGUUAAAACUCA
Molecule: ribosomal RNA, 528 nt
Filed under: Alteromonas sp.
Lineage: Bacteria; Pseudomonadati; Pseudomonadota; Gammaproteobacteria; Alteromonadales; Alteromonadaceae
Description: bacterial SSU rRNA
Rfam family: Bacterial small subunit ribosomal RNA
Source: RNAcentral